UGCNGUCGANCGGUAGCAGGAGGAAGCUUGCUUUCUUGCUGACGAGUGGCGGACGGGUGAGUAAUGCUUGGGAAUCUGGCUUAUGGAGGGGGAUAACCACGGGAAACUGUGGCUAAUACCGCGUAAUAUCUUAGGAUUAANNGNNGNGACUUUAGGGCCACCUGCCAUAAGAUGAGCCCAAGUGGGAUUAGGUAGUUGGUGGGGUAAAGGCCUACCAAGCCGACGAUCUCUAGCUGGUCUGAGAGGAUGACCAGCCACACUGGGACUGAGACACGGCCCANACUCCUACGGGAGGCAGCAGUGGGGAAUAUUGCGCAAUGGGGGGAACCCUGACGCAGCCAUGCCGCGUGAAUGAAGAAGGCCUUCGGGUUGUAAAGUUCUUUCGGUGAUGAGGAAGGUAUCGGAUUUAAUAGAUUUGGUAAUUGACGUUAAUCACAGAAGAAGCACCGGCUAACUCCGUGCCAGCAGCCGCGGUAAUACGGAGGGUGCGAGCGUUAAUCGGAAUAACUGGGCGUAAAGGGCACGCAGGCGGUGACUUAAGUGAGGUGUGAAAGCCCCGGGCUUAACCUGGGAAUUGCAUUUCAUACUGGGUCGCUAGAGUACUUUAGGGAGGGGUAGAAUUCCACGUGUAGCGGUGAAAUGCGUAGAGAUGUGGAGGAAUACCGAAGGCGAAGGCAGCCCCUUGGGAAUGUACUGACGCUCAUGUGCGAAAGCGUGGGGAGCAAACAGGAUUAGAUACCCUGGUAGUCCACGCUGUAAACGCUGUCGAUUUGGGGGUUGGGCUUUNAGNUUGGCGCCCGUAGCUAACGUGAUAAAUCGACCGCCUGGGGAGUACG
Molecule: ribosomal RNA, 836 nt
Filed under: Pasteurellaceae bacterium 7/13
Lineage: Bacteria; Pseudomonadati; Pseudomonadota; Gammaproteobacteria; Pasteurellales; Pasteurellaceae
Description: bacterial SSU rRNA
Rfam family: Bacterial small subunit ribosomal RNA
Source: RNAcentral